AAAAACCGACAGAGAAGCAGAAAGGCCGAGAAAGAGAAAGGAGAAAAGGAAAAGAAGAAAGAAAAGAAGAAGAAGAAGGGGGAAGUAAGUAUUUAUCUUCAUGUUUGGGUUCAUUUACUUCAUUUCUUCAUGAAAUUAAGAAGUAAAUGUUCUAUGGUUUUAUGAUGUUAAAUUUCUAAGGUUUAAUUAGUUGGUUAAAUUUGUGGGUUUUACUUGUAGGUUUAGUGAAAGGAGUAUGAAUCCUUGUUUAAAUUACUUGAUGGAUUAAUUUUUAGUUCAAUGAAGGUAAGCAAUAUAAUUUUUGGCAAACCCCAUAUUUCUAUUUGGGAUUUUUGAUUAAUUAUUGUUAAUAGGAAUGGUUAUAUUGAUGGAAUACCCACAUGAAAGCAUGAAUUUGAAAAACAAGAUGAAAGUUUAAAUGGGUGGAAUUAUGGUUCCUAGUUUUCAUUAGAUUGGAAAGUAUAAUUUUUUAUGAGUGGAUGAAGGUAAAUUUGGAUGUAGUAUACAUUUGUGAAGGUAUUAGAAAGUAGAAUUAGCUCCAAUUGAUCAAAGGAAAAUUCGAAAAAUUUAUUCAAGCAUCGAGAAAUUUAAUUUAAGUACUAUCAUUAAAGAUAAACAGUUUCUUGUUUUGGCAGUGUUUAAAUUAGUUAUUUUAUAAUGUAUUUCAGGUGGUUACGAAGAGAUUGGAAACAUUUAUUAGGCAGUCUAGCUUUUAGCUCACACUUCGUGAGCGGAUAAAAAAUAUUAUUUUCAGCAAUAAGUAUUUAUUCAAUUUAUAUUAAAUCAGAAAAUGUAUUAUUUCAUAUAGUUGAUUUGACAGCGUGAUUUUCAGAAUAAAGUUGAUUUGUAAAUAAUUGUUUUUAAAAUUUGAUCUAGUUCAGUUAAAUCAUUUCAAUAGCAUGUUCCAUUCGUAUUGCAUGUUUUAGUAUAGCUAAAGUUAUUUCUAAAAACCACAUAAAAGUACCAAGUGAUUUUACUCUAGUCUGCACUGGUGUGAAUGUGUUCCACAGUGUAAGGCUAAUUAAGGUCAUUUUACCCGCUCUGCACUACUAUGAAUGUGUUUCCAUAGUGUAUGACCAGAUUAUCAGAUGUCUUUAGGACCCACUCUCAUAGACACAUAGGCUUUGGACCGUGUAUUAGGGUGAUUAGACUUUGAGACAACUCUACGUACGUAUGACCAGAUUAUCAGAUGUGAAUGGCUUUGCCUUGUACAUCGAGAUUACUUUGUACAUGAGUAAGGCUAUUCAUUGGGUACCUUUGUGGUGUGACUUUCAAUAUAUAUAGCUUAUCAGAUUUCAAACUACAAAAUUUAGUUUCUUCAAUUUUUAAAGUAAUGAUUUCAAUUUAUAGUAUUGUGACAGGAUAUUUUCACUUAUAUUUACUGCUAUCAGAUUAUUUAUAUUUAUUAUAGCUUACAGUUGCCUAUCUUGAAAGAAGAACAAAGAAUUUUAUGAUGCAUUCAUGUUUGAUUUUAAAAGUAUUACCAGAUUUUCGAAUUUCUAGAAGUUUUAGUAGUGCAAAAAUUUUUAGAAAAUAUGCAUAAACGGGAAACGUAUACUUAUUUAUAAACUAUUCAUUCACUGAGUUACAAGCUCAUAUAUAUUGUUAUGUUUUUCCUAUCAGGAGACCGGUGAUUUUGAGAUAUCUAGGAAAGCCUGCUGAAGCCAAGAGCCUGGUUACCCAUCAUUUAGCGCAUGAUCUUAACCGUAUCAUAGUAUGUAAUGUAUAGUUGGGGACUCAUGUUUAUUGAACACUUUGUCUAAUAUUUUGUUUGAUUUUCACUUCAUAGAAGGGUUUAUAAUUAAUGUAAUGAUUGUAUGUAGACAUGAUGUUUUACAGUAGAAGUACCCAGUCGAGUUUAGUUGUAUUUUGUUUUAGUUGUGGUGGUAUUGGCAGAAUUGGUGGAUCCCAAAAUUUUUGUUUUAAAUGUCUAUAUGAG
Molecule: long non-coding RNA, 1939 nt
Filed under: Olea europaea (common olive)
Lineage: Eukaryota; Viridiplantae; Streptophyta; Magnoliopsida; Lamiales; Oleaceae
Description: long non-coding RNA (OEUR_LNC007121)
Source: RNAcentral